GUGCCCGUAACUCAGUGGUAGAGUGUGAGAUUGCAAUGCCGGGGUAAUCUUGAAGGCGCGUGUUCGAAUUACGCCGGGCACU
Paramarasmius palmivorus is the source of this 82-nucleotide non-coding RNA. The record is from the annotation of a GenBank genome assembly. Lineage: Eukaryota; Fungi; Basidiomycota; Agaricomycetes; Agaricales; Marasmiaceae.